Molecule: ribosomal RNA, 450 nt
Filed under: uncultured bacterium
Lineage: Bacteria
Description: partial 16S ribosomal RNA
Rfam family: Bacterial small subunit ribosomal RNA
Source: RNAcentral
CCUACGGGGGGCUGCAGUAAGGAAUAUUGGUCAAUGGACGAAAGUCUGAACCAGCCAUGCCGCGUGGAGGAUGAAGGUCCUCUGGAUUGUAAACUUCUUUUAUAUGGGACGAAAAAAGGCCUUUCCAGGUCGUCUGACGGUACCAUAUGAAUAAGCACCGGCUAACUCCGUGCCAGCAGCCGCGGUAAUACGGAGGGUGCAAGCGUUAUCCGGAUUCACUGGGUUUAAGGGGUGCGUGUAUGGGAGGGGUGAAAUCCCCGAGCUUAACUUGGGAACUGCCAUUGAUACUAUCAGUCUUGAAUACCGUGGAGGUCAGCGGAAUAUGUCAUGUAGCGGUGAAAUGCUUAGAUAUGACAUAGAACACCAAUUGCGAAGGCAGCUGGCUACACGAGUAUUGACACUGAGGCACGAAAGCCAGGGGAGCAAACGGGAUUAGAUACCCUUGUAGUC